Molecule: long non-coding RNA, 383 nt
Filed under: Manacus vitellinus (golden-collared manakin)
Lineage: Eukaryota; Metazoa; Chordata; Aves; Passeriformes; Pipridae
Description: lncRNA (ENSMVIG00005004253.1)
Source: RNAcentral
CUUUGCUCUGAGUCAUCCCUCUCUAAUGGCAAUUUUAAGGUCACUCCUGAACAUGGUUUGCCACACUGUUUGAAGAAAUGUGCACGUAUCCAUCUGCAAAAAGCCAGCUGUCCAGGAAGCAGUUCUAUUGUAAAGAGUCUACUCCUGCCUUUCAGGGAAAUAUGACCAGGGUUCUGGCUGACCAGCAGAGCUAUAAUUUUAUUCCAGCAACACCAAUAAGCAACUGGUAUGUGACCACGAGAAGAGAACUUCAGCAUUGCAAGACCAGAACACUGGCUAUCAAAAAGAUUAAUCACAAGGGGAUAUAUUGUUGCCUGAAUAUUUUAACAACUGGCAUGGAAAUAUUCUACCUUCCAAGAAAACUCCCUCCCAGAACAGCCAAG